ACCAGACUCCUACGGGAGGCAGCAGUGGGGGAUAUUGCACAAUGGGGGGAACCCUGAUGCAGCGACGCCGCGUGGGUGAAGGAGCGUUUCGGCGCGUAAAGCCCUAUCGGCAGGGAAGAAACAGACGGUACCUGGCUAAGAAGCCCCGGCUAACUACGUGCCAGCAGCCGCGGUAAUACGUAGGGGGCAAGCGUUAUCCGGAUUCACUGGGUGUAAAGGGAGCGUAGACGGCGACGCAAGUCUGGAGUGAAAGCCCGGGGCCCAACCCCGGGACUGCUCUUGGAACUGCGCGGCUGGAGUGCAGGAGGGGCAGGCGGAAUUCCUGGUGUAGCGGUGAAAUGCGUAGAUAUCAGGAGGAACACCGGUGGCGAAGGCGGCCUGCUGGACUGCGACUGACGUUGAGGCCCGAAAGCGUGGGGAGCAAACAGGAUUAGAUACCCCGGUAA
Molecule: ribosomal RNA, 446 nt
Filed under: uncultured bacterium
Lineage: Bacteria
Description: partial 16S ribosomal RNA
Rfam family: Bacterial small subunit ribosomal RNA
Source: RNAcentral